AUGGCUCAGAGCGAACGCUGGCGGCAGGCCUAACACAUGCAAGUCGAGCGCCCGCAAGGGGAGCGGCAGACGGGAGAGUAACACGUGGGAACGUGCCCUUUGGUUCGGAACAACCCAGGGAAACUUGGGCUAAUACCGGAUAAGUCCGUAAGGAGAAAGAUUUAUCGCCAAAGGAGCGGCCCGCGUCUGAUUAGCUUGUUGGUGAGGUAACGGCUCACCAAGGCGACGAUCAGUAGCUGGUCUGAGAGGAUGAUCAGCCUCACUGGGACUGAGACACGGCCCAGACUCCUACGGGAGGCAGCAGUGGGGAAUAUUGGACAAUGGGCGCAAGCCUGAUCCAGCCAUGCCGCGUGGGUGAUGAAGGCCCUAGGGUUGUAAAGCCCUUUCGGCGGGGAAGAUAAUGACGGUACCCGCAGAAGAAGCCCCGGCUAACUUCGUGCCAGCAGCCGC
RNAcentral lists this ribosomal RNA (450 nucleotides) under uncultured bacterium. RNAcentral's name for it is "bacterial SSU rRNA". It matches the Rfam family "Bacterial small subunit ribosomal RNA", at positions 19 to 518 of the family's 1533-position model. The record is from RNAcentral.